RNAcentral lists this ribosomal RNA (253 nucleotides) under uncultured bacterium. RNAcentral describes it as "partial 16S ribosomal RNA". It matches the Rfam family "Bacterial small subunit ribosomal RNA", at positions 524 to 776 of the family's 1533-position model. The record is from RNAcentral.
UACGUAGGGGGCAAGCGUUGUCCGGAAUCAUUGGGCGUAAAGAGCGUGUAGGCGGCCCGGUAAGUCCGUUGUGAAAGUCGAGGGCUCAACCCUCGAAUGCCGGCGGAUACUGCCGGGCUAGAAUCCGGAAGAGGCGAGUGGAAUUCCUGGUGUAGCGGUGAAAUGCGCAGAUAUCAGGAGGAACACCAAUAGCGAAGGCAGCUCGCUGGGACGGUACUGACGCUAAGGCGCGAAAGCUAGGGGAGCAAACGGG